RNAcentral lists this ribosomal RNA (908 nucleotides) under Neofusicoccum mediterraneum. Its description in RNAcentral is "LSU rRNA". It matches the Rfam family "Eukaryotic large subunit ribosomal RNA", at positions 36 to 961 of the family's 3401-position model. The record is from RNAcentral. Lineage: Eukaryota; Fungi; Ascomycota; Dothideomycetes; Botryosphaeriales; Botryosphaeriaceae.
UAGCAUAUCAAUAAGCGGAGGAAAAGAAACCAACAGGGAUUGCCUUAGUAACGGCGAGUGAAGCGGCAAUAGCUCAAAUUUGAAAGCUGGCCCCUUUCGGGGUCCGCGUUGUAAUUUGUAGAGGAUGAUUCGGCGAGGGCUCCCGUCUAAGUCCCUUGGAACAGGGCGUCAUAGAGGGUGAGAAUCCCGUAUGUGAUGGGCUGCCUUAGCCAUGUGAAUCUCCUUCGACGAGUCGAGUUGUUUGGGAAUGCAGCUCUAAAUGGGAGGUAAAUUUCUUCUAAAGCUAAAUACCGGCCAGAGACCGAUAGCGCACAAGUAGAGUGAUCGAAAGAUGAAAAGCACUUUGGAAAGAGAGUUAAAAAGUACGUGAAAUUGUUGAAAGGGAAGCGCUUGCAGCCAGACUUGUCCGCAGUUGCUCAGCCUGUCUCCUGACAGGCGUACUCUUCUGCGGCCAGGCCAGCAUCAGUUCGGGCGGUCGGAUAAAGACCCGGGGAAUGUAGCUCCUCUCGGGGAGUGUUAUAGCCCUGGGUGCAAUGCGGCCAGCCUGGACUGAGGAUCUCGCUUCGGCUAGGAUGCUGGCGUAAUGGCUGUAAGCGGCCCGUCUUGAAACACGGACCAAGGAGUCUAACAUCUAUGCGAGUGUUUGGGUGUCAAACCCAUGCGCGUAAUGAAAGUGAACGGAGGUGGGAACCCUCACGGGUGCACCAUCGACCGAUCCUGAUGUCUUCGGAUGGAUUUGAGUAAGAGCAUAGCUGUUGGGACCCGAAAGAUGGUGAACUAUGCCUGAAUAGGGUGAAGCCAGAGGAAACUCUGGUGGAGGCUCGCAGCGGUUCUGACGUGCAAAUCGAUCGUCAAAUUUGGGUAUAGGGGCGAAAGACUAAUCGAACCAUCUAGUAGCUGGGUCCUGC